GGUGGCUGAAUUUAGGCGGUAGAUUGUAAAUCUAUUUAUGAUUAAUAAUCCCU
RNAcentral lists this transfer RNA (53 nucleotides) under Dermatobranchus otome. Its description in RNAcentral is "tRNA-Tyr". The record is from RNAcentral. Lineage: Eukaryota; Metazoa; Mollusca; Gastropoda; Nudibranchia; Arminidae.